Molecule: ribosomal RNA, 472 nt
Filed under: Philolithus morbillosus
Lineage: Eukaryota; Metazoa; Arthropoda; Insecta; Coleoptera; Tenebrionidae
Description: eukaryotic LSU rRNA
Source: RNAcentral
AGAGUACGUGAAACCGUUCAGGGGUAAACCUGAGAAACCCGAAAGGUCGAAAGGGGAGAUUCAGCGUGUCUCGAUUGCGGCGCUGGACGGUCGUGCGACGGAAGACGUACGCGUCAUCCGCACCUUCCGUUCUCCGAACCGCAGUCGAACGCGUGCACUUCUCCCCCUGUAGGACGUCGCGAUCCGUUGGGUGCCGGCCUAAGGCCCGCGAUGGAGCCCGUCCGGACGGUUUUCCGUUCCGGACGAACUCGCGGUGUUUCCCGGUCGGCUCGCUCGACGGUAUACAGAUGGCGCGGGGCCGCUACACAUCAGUUAGCGUCCGACCGGCGGCAAGCGCGCUCGUCGUGACGGUGAUCGGACCUGGUGCCGGUCCUGUCCCCGAGUGGCUGUUCGCUGCCGUGUUCUCGGACAGACCUCGUCGAAACGCCGAUCUGCGACGCUAUAGCUUUGGGUACUUUCAGGACCCGUCUUG